RNAcentral lists this ribosomal RNA (492 nucleotides) under uncultured bacterium. RNAcentral describes it as "partial 16S ribosomal RNA". It matches the Rfam family "Bacterial small subunit ribosomal RNA", at positions 29 to 507 of the family's 1533-position model. The record is from RNAcentral.
AGUGAACGCUGGCGGUAGGCCUAACACAUGCAAGUCGAACGGCAGCACAGUAAGAGCUUGCUCUUACGGGUGGCGAGUGGCGGACGGGUGAGGAAUACAUCGGAAUCUACUUUUUCGUGGGGGAUAACGUAGGGAAACUUACGCUAAUACCGCAUACGACCUACGGGUGAAAGCAGGGGAUCUUCGGACCUUGCGCGAUUGAAUGAGCCGAUGUCGGAUUAGCUAGUUGGCGGGGUAAAGGCCCACCAAGGCGACGAUCCGUAGCUGGUCUGAGAGGAUGAUCAGGCACACUGGAACUGAGACACGGUCCAGACUCCGACGGGAGGCAGCAGUGGGGAAUAGUGGACAAUGGGCGCAAGCCUGAUCCAGCCAUACCGCGUGGGUGAAGAAGGCGUUCGGGUUGUAAAGCCCUUUUGUUGGGAAAGAAAAGCAGCAGGUUAAUACCCCGCUGUUCUGACGGUACCCAAAGAAUAAGCACCGGCUAACUUCGUG